RNAcentral lists this small nuclear RNA (111 nucleotides) under Tropilaelaps mercedesae. RNAcentral describes it as "U5 spliceosomal RNA". It matches the Rfam family "U5 spliceosomal RNA". Rfam says of the family: U5 RNA is a component of both types of known spliceosome. The precise function of this molecule is unknown, though it is known that the 5' loop is required for splice site selection and p220 binding, and that both the 3' stem-loop and the Sm site are important for Sm protein binding and cap methylation. The record is from Rfam by way of RNAcentral. Lineage: Eukaryota; Metazoa; Arthropoda; Arachnida; Mesostigmata; Laelapidae.
UCGCUCUGGUGUCCCAGCAUCGACGAAUAUGCGUUUCGCCUUUUGCUAAACGCAUCCGUGCUGGGGGACCUGAGCGAUAAUAUUGUAAGCAAGGAAUAUACAUGUUUUUUG